This 458-nucleotide ribosomal RNA is filed under the name uncultured bacterium. RNAcentral's name for it is "bacterial SSU rRNA". It matches the Rfam family "Bacterial small subunit ribosomal RNA", at positions 29 to 524 of the family's 1533-position model. The record is from RNAcentral.
AGUGAACGUUGGCGGCGUGGAUUAGGCAUGCAAGUCGAGCGAUCGUAGCAAUACGGGAGCGGCAAACGGGGUAGGAAUACAUCGGAACGUACCUUUUGGUUGAGAAUAGCGUUGGGAAACUGACGGUAAUACUCAAUAAAGUCGAGAGACCAAAGGUUUACUGCCGGAAGAGCGGCCGAUGCGAUAUUAGGUAGUUGGUGGGGUAAUGGCCUACCAAGCCUGAGAUGUCUAGGGGGUGUGAGAGCAUGGCCCCCACCACUGGGACUGAGAUACUGCCCAGACACCUACGGGUGGCUGCAGUCGAGGAUCUUCGUCAAUGGGCGAAAGCCUGAACGAGCGACGCCGCGUGCGGGAUGAAGGCCCUUGGGUUGUAAACCGCUGUCAGGGGGAUGAAACCGUAAGGUUGACAGAGCCCCAGAGGAAGCACGGGCUAAGUUCGUGCCAGCAGCCGCGGUAAU